GGCCUGGUCGGGCGGUCCGCCUUCUGGUGAGCACUGUCCUCGCACCGGGUCUCUUCUUCUGGUGAACUAGUGUGCUCUUUAUUGGGUGCGCUAGGGAAUCAGGACUAUUACCUUGAAAAAAUUAGAGUGUUCAAAGCAGGCAAAGCCUGAAUACAUUAGCAUGGAAUAAUAAAAUAGGACGUGUGGUUCUAUUUUGUUGGUUUCUAGAAUCGCCGUA
Molecule: ribosomal RNA, 217 nt
Filed under: uncultured fungus
Lineage: Eukaryota; Fungi
Description: partial small subunit ribosomal RNA
Rfam family: Eukaryotic small subunit ribosomal RNA (bases 50-217)
Source: RNAcentral